RNAcentral lists this unclassified non-coding RNA (259 nucleotides) under Borreliella bissettiae. The record is from RNAcentral. Lineage: Bacteria; Pseudomonadati; Spirochaetota; Spirochaetia; Spirochaetales; Borreliaceae.
UCUGCGAGUUCGCGGGAGAGUAGGUUAUUGCCAGGGUUUUUAUUUUUAUAUUUUAAAUAAAGAUUUUAUUUUAUGUUUUUUAAAUGUUUGUUAGUUUUUUUGAAUGUGUUAUUUAAAUAACAUAAAAAAUAAAAUAUAUAUUGACAUGGAUUAAACAAAGAUAUAUAUUAUUUUAUGUUGCGUAAACAAAUUGGCAAAAUAGAGAUGGAAGAUAAAAAUAUGGUCAAAGUAAUAACAGUCUAUGGUGAAUGCCAAGGAA